This 459-nucleotide ribosomal RNA is filed under the name Salipiger bermudensis. RNAcentral describes it as "bacterial SSU rRNA". It matches the Rfam family "Bacterial small subunit ribosomal RNA", at positions 387 to 864 of the family's 1533-position model. The record is from RNAcentral. Lineage: Bacteria; Pseudomonadati; Pseudomonadota; Alphaproteobacteria; Rhodobacterales; Roseobacteraceae.
UCUAGCCAUGCCGCGUGAGUGAUGAAGGCCUUAGGGUCGUAAAGCUCUUUCGCUGGGGAAGAUAAUGACGGUACCCAGUAAAGAAACCCCGGCUAACUCCGUGCCAGCAGCCGCGGUAAUACGGAGGGGGUUAGCGUUGUUCGGAAUUACUGGGCGUAAAGCGCGCGUAGGCGGAUCAGAAAGUUGGGGGUGAAAUCCCGGGGCUCAACCUCGGAACUGCCUCCAAAACUCCUGGUCUUGAGUUCGAGAGAGGUGAGUGGAACUCCGAGUGUAGAGGUGAAAUUCGUAGAUAUUCGGAAGAACACCAGUGGCGAAGGCGGCUCACUGGCUCGAUACUGACGCUGAGGUGCGAAAGUGUGGGGAGCAAACAGGAUUAGAUACCCUGGUAGUCCACACCGUAAACGAUGAAUGCCAGUCGUCGGGUAGCAUGCUAUUCGGUGACACACCUAACGGAUUAAG